UUCCGGCCUGCUCCUCCUCCUCAACACAGUGCCUGAUCAAAUGCCUGUCAACGACUGCCUUCUCACCCACGCUUCUGCCAGCCGUCUAGACAUCAGCAUUCUCGCACUUGUCCAGCACAGCUGCCUCUGCUGAGCCAGAUCCGUCCCAUGCUCCUGCCCCAUCUGCUACACUCCCUGCCCCCUAGUGCUGCUCCCCCUGCAGCUCCUGAGAGAGGGACUCAUUAGCCUGCUGUCCCAGCUGCUACUACCACAACACAAGCUGACCAGAGCGCGACCUUACAGCACAUCAUUAAGCUCAGGAGCUUAAUGAUGUGCUGUAAAGUUAGUGCAAAUGUCAAGGACUUGAAUGAAAGGGUCAAUGCUCUUGGAACAACGUCAACGUGCAGAGACCAGCCCUGAGCAGAUCGUGGUUCCUGCCCCAGUCGAUAAGUCCCGGCCUGCCCCGAGUGGUCAUCCCGAGCACAUGCCAACGUGUACAUGUCGUGCUUGCAAUGUUGCACGCAAGAUCAAUUAAUUAUUAUACAGAUGGCCCGAGGGUGAUAUUAGACACUGAUCAUUUUUAAUGUUUAAUUAAAAUUAAGUACAAAAUCAGUUUCCAUGAAGCAACUUGCAAUUUAUCUGCCACUUAGUUCAAUCACCAAAUUCAACUUACAUUUAAUGCGUCAAACUUCAAUAUUCAUGUCAGCAGCAUCAUACACAGUACACAAAAACAAAAUACAAACAUUCUAUAACUAAAUAUCAAGAUAACACAAUCAUUCUAUAAUCCUAUAAGUUUAUUUAUUAAAUAAAUAAACUUAUAAAAAUUUCCAAGGCUGCAUCACACAACCUUUAAGUUCUACUCACAAACAAGAUGUGUCACUCCAUCUCCUCCCAGCCUCUCUGGUCUGGGACUAGAACCUCUGCCUCUCAGUCUGUUACUGAAUUAUUCCUAUUUUACACACUAUAAUAUACCCACACGCUUCUACCGAUGAUCUGUCCAUUAGGCGUGGUGAUUCAUGCACUCUAACCAGUCACUCACUAUAUUUGACCUUUUGACCAAUCUGACAAUAUAUCCUUAACCAAUCAAAUCAAAAAUUAAAACAAGGUUCAAAGCGGAGUGUACGAGUAUGUAGGCGUUGAUAUGUUUCCAUAGGUUGACUUAUUUUCCUUGGUAAUUUACUUUCCCUUUCAGGCUCCACCUUUCCUAUCGCUCUGCCUCCUUGAUACGGAACCCUGUUAAUCCUCUUUUCACGGUAGUAGUGACCCGCUUCGUUUUUGUUGUUUUGGCUAUGGGAUCGUUUGCUAUCCCAUUAUUCCUGUAGUUCCGGCCUCGUGUUUUGCUCUUUCUGGUUCCCUAGUCCUGGACAUCUCACAGGAAGGUGUAAAUUACCCUUCCGGAAAGAACCGGCUUGUUGUUUAUCUGCUUCUGUUAUUUAUUCUACUUUCUUCUUUCUUCUCUCUUCUUUUCUUCUUUCUUUUUCUUUAUUUUCUCUUCUUUCUUCUCUCUUGUUUCUUCAUUAUGUAAUAUACUGAUGCGUUCAGGGUUACAAGAUAUACAGCCCCAGCCUGUGCCUCCCCCCCCCCAGUCUCCACCCUUGCCAGCCCCAGCCCAGCCCCUGCCUGUGCUGAUCCAUUCCCCUCCACAGUCUGUUUCCUUUUCUGAAGAUGUAUAUCCGGAGUCCGACUAUAAUGCCAUGGACGCUGCUAAUGAGGACAAGCCUGCUGACAGAGUUGUGUCUGUCAUCGCCGUGAAUCUCGAGGUUCCUCAAAGGGGUGGGGAACAGUGUCCCUCUCCUGCUACUCCCCGGACUGAACUGUAUGACUUAGAAAUGGAAGUGCGACAGGUGACUUCAUUGGCUGAGCAGUUGGCUCAGCUAUAUCAACGACUCCCUUCCAUAGGCACUACUGUCCAGUUCACAUAAUGCACGGUCUCUUCUGAGUGACCACUUCGCGCUGGAAACCACCUUCUGUGUCCCUACCUCCCCGCUGUGUCUAGGAAGCUUCUUAGCGUCCCCAGUGAUCAGAUGCCACUACUUGUCCUUCAUUUCACCACGUGGUACUCCAGCAUGCAUGGUUCCUUCAUCGAUCCUACCGCGCUUUACAAGGGGCUCCUGAAUGCCAUCGAGGGAUUCGUUGGUGCCACAUUAACUCCACCCAGGCCCCAGAGGUCAUGUUCUCGGUCCUAACCCAACGACCCCCAGGUUCUCCAAUGUCAACAGAUACUCGCUGCCUGUCAGAGGCGGUGGCAGAAUGACUGAUGACCGUGAGGCUCGGAAGGCCAUGGUUACCGUGGCCCGACACUUUACUGAGUUCCAAUAACAGGCAAGGAAGAGAUACUGGGAUGCUUUCCUGUGUCGUAUGAGCAGAACCCGGUCUCAGCAGGAGGUGUGGCUUCAUGUGAACAAAAUUAGAGACAAGUCCAGGCAUCAGAUCAAUGAUCGUGACCCAGUCGGCAAAGCACAGGAACUUAUUAUGCAGUGGAAGCAAGCCUCUUUGGUGGAUGGCCUCCCUGCUACUUGACCUGUACUCCCUGCACUGUACUCCCUGUACUUGACCUGCUCAACAUGCUAUUUACCUUAGGCCAGCUGCAAGCUGCUUGGAAAGCUGCAUUUAUGAUUCCCAUCCCCAAAGGCAAUUGUACCUUUCGUUCCAUGUCCCUCACAAGCUGUUUGUGUAAGAUGAUGGAAAGAGAAAUACUAAAUAGGCUUUUAUACAAAGUGGGCCAUGGCCUUUCUCGAAACAUGCAUGGUUUCUUAAAAGGUCAUUCCACUAGCCACUGUUUUGUGAAAUGUCUUAGUAAGAAGAUGCUACUUGUAGAGGUUUCAAUGAUCUCAAGAGGGCCUUUGAUAGGGCCAAUAAAGCUCUUGUACUGGAAGAAAUUGUUCUAAAGGGUGUCAAAGGCAAAUUAUUAGGUUCGGUUAGGGACUACUUGUAUGAUUGGCACAAGUUCGGUUACAAGAUUCAGUAUCCUCUGUGGAACCCCUGUGGAAGGAUGGCGUCCCCAGUUAGAGGAGUUGAUGAGACGAAAAGCUUUUGAUUUUACCAUGUCUAGAAGAGCGGUAUGAGUGGAACCCCCCAAUACAUGGAUGGAUAAGGCCCUUGUACAAAGUUAGCAAGUGGGUGAGAAAAACUGUCGGAGACGUCUUAGACUAGCUUCAUAGAAGCUGUUUUAGCUAUGAGAUGAGAUGAGAUGAGAUGAGAUGUGAAGUUUCCUGUUCAGAUUAUAAGUAGAGGACAGACCGAGGAUGUUCAGUGUGGAAGAGAGGGACAGUUGAGUGUCAUUGAAGAAGAGGGGAUAGUUGUCUGGAAGGCUGUGUCGAGGUGAUAGAUGGAGGAAUUGAGUUUUUGAGGCAUUGAACAAUACCAAGUUUGCUCUGCCCCAAUCAGAAAUUUUAGAAAAAAUCAGAAGUUAGGCGUUCUGUGGCUUCCCUGUGUGAAAUGUUUACUUCCUGAAGUGUUGGACGUCUAUGAAAAGAUGUGGAAUUGUGCAGGGUGGUGUCAUCAGCGUAACAGUGGAUAGGACAAAAAGUUUGGUUUAAAAGGUCAUUGAUGAAUAAUAAGAAAAGAGUGGAUGACAGGACAGAACCCUGAGGAACACCACUGUUAAUAGAUUUAGGAGAACAGUGACCGUCUACCAUAGCAGCAAUAGAACGGUCAAGAUGAAGUUACAGAGAGAAGGACAGAAGCCGUAGGAGGGUAGUUUCGAAAUCAAAGCUUUGUACCAGACUCUAUCAAAAGCUUUUGAUAUGUCCAAGGCAACAGCUAAAGUUUCGCCAAAAUCUCUAAAAGAGGAUGACCAAGACUCAGUAAGGAAAGCCAGAAGAUCACCAGUAGAGCGGCCUUGACGGAACCCCUACUGACGAUCAGGUAGAAGGUUGUGAAGUGAUAGAUGUUUAAGAAUCUUCCUGUUGAGGGUAGAUUCAAAAACUUUAGAUAGGCAGGAAAUUAAAGCAAUAGGACGGUAGUUUGAGGGAUUAGAACGGUCACCCUUUUAAGGAACAGGUUGAAUGUAGGCAAACUUCCAGCAAGAAGAAAAGGUAGAUGUUGACAGACAAAGCUGAAAGAGCUUGACUAGGCAAGGUGCAAGCACGGAGGCACAGUUUCGGAGAACAAUAGGAGGGACCCCAUCAGGUCCAUAAGCCUUCCGAGGGUUUAGGCCAGCGAGGGCAUGGAAAACAUCAUUGCGAAGAAUUUUAAUAGGUGGCAUGAAGUAGUCAGAGGGUGGAGGAGAGGGAGGAACAAGCCCAGAAUCGUCCAAGGUAGAGUUUUUAGCAAAGGUUUGAGCAGAGUUCAGCUUUAGAAAUAGAUUUGAUAGCAGUGGUGCCAUCUGGUUGAAAUAGAAGAGGGAAAAAAGAAGAAGCAAAGUUAUUGGAGAUAUUUUUGGCUAGAUGCCAGAAGUCACGAGGGGAGUUAGAUCUUGAAAGGUUUUGACAUUUUCUGUUAAUGAAGGAGUUUUUAGCUAGUUGGAGAACAGACUUGGCAUGGUUCCGGGCAGAAAUAUAAAGUGCAUGAGAUUCUGGUGAUGGAAGGCUUAAGUACCCUUUGUGGGCCACCUCUCUAUCAUGUAUAGCACGAGAACAAGCUGUGUUAAACCAAGGUUUAGAAGGUUUAGGACGAGAAAAAGAGUGAGGAAUGUACGCCUCCAUGCCAGACACUAUCACCUCUGUUAUGCGCUCAGUACACAAAGAUGGGUCUCUGACAAGGAAGCAGUAGUCAUUUCAAGGAAAAUCAGCAAAAUACCUCCUCAGGUCCCCCCAACUACCAGAGGCAAAACGCCAGAGGCACCUUCGCUUAGGGGGAUCCUGAGGAGGGAUUGGAGCGAUAGGACAAGAUAAAGAUAUGAGAUUGUGAUCGGAGGAGCCCAACGGAGAAGAAAGGGUGACAGCAUAAGCAGAAGGAUUAGAGGUCAGGAAAAGGUCAAGAAUGUUGGGCGUAUCUCCAAGACGGUCAGGAAUACGAGUAGGGUGUUGCACUAAUCCUGUGAAGGAUAGAUUCAAAAACUUUAGAUUGGCAGGAAAUUAAAGCAAUAGGACGGCAAUUUGAGGGAUUAGAACGGUCACCCUUUUAGGAACAGACUGAAUGUAGGCAAACUUCCAGCAAGAAGGAAAGGUAGAUGUUGACAGACAGAGCUAAAAGAAUUUGGCUAGGCAAGGUGCAAGCACGGAGGCACAGUUUCGGAGAACAAUAGGUGGAACCCCAUCAGGUCCAUAAGCCUUCCGAGGGUUUAGGCCAGCGAGGGUAUGAAAAACAUCAUUGCGAAGAAUUUUAAUAGGUAGCAUGAAGUAGUCAGAGGGUGGAGAAGAGGGAGGAACAAGCCCAGAAUCGUCCAAGGUAGAAAUUUUAGCAAAGGUUUGAGCGAAGCAGUUUAGCUUUAGAAAUAGAUGUGACAGCAGUGGUGCCAUCUGGUUGAAAUAAAGGAGGGAAAGAAGAAAAAGCAAAGUUAUUGGAGAUAUUUUUGGAUAGAUGCCAGAAGUCACGAGGGGAAUUAGACCUUGAAAGAUUUUGACACUUUCUGUUAAUGAAGUUUUUGGUAGUUGAAGAACAGACUUGGCAUGGUUCCGGGUAGAAAUAUAAAGUGCAUGAGAUUCUGAUGAUGGAAGAUUUAAGUACCUUUUGUGGGCCACCUCUCUAUCAUGUAUAGCACGAGAACAAGCUGCUCUUUUUCUUCCAAGGUUUGGAAAGUUUAGGUCGAGAAAAAGAGUGAGGAAUAUACGCCUCCAUGCUAGACACUAUCACCUCUGUUAUGCGCUCAGCACACAAAGACGAGUCUCUGACACGGAAGCAGUAGUCAUUCCAAGGAAAUUCAGUAAAAUACUUUCUCAGGUCCCUCCAACUAGCAGAGGCAAAACGCCAGAGACACCUUCGCUUAGGGGGAUCUUGAGGAGGGAUUGGAGCGAUAGGACAAGAUACAGAUAUGAUAUUGUGGUCGGAGGAGCCCAAAGGAGAAGAGAGGACGACAGCAUAAGCAGAAGAAUUCGAGGUCAGGAAAAGGUCCAGAAUGUUGGGCGUAUCUCUAAGACAGUCAAGAAUACGAGUAGAGUGCUGCAUCAAUUGCUUUAGGUCAUGGAGGAUAGCAAGGUUGAAGGCUAGUUCACCAGGAUGGUCAGUGAAGGGAGAGGAAAGCCAAAGCUGGUGGUGAACACUGACGUCUCCAAGAAUGGAGAUCUCUGGAAAAGGGAAGAGAGUCAGAAUGUGCUCCACUUUGGAAGUUAUCAGAAUUUCUUCUAGUCAGAGGAGUAAGUUGAGAAAUAUACAGCACAGACAAAUUUAGUUUGAGAGUGACUCUGUAGUCGUAGCCAGGUGAUGGAAAACUCGGAAGAUUCAAGAGCGUGGGCACGAGAGCAGGUUAAGUCGUUGCGCACAUAAACCAAACAUAUAGCAUUCGAUCGAAAAUGAGGAUAGAGAAAGUAUGAGGGAACAGAAAAGGGGUUACUCUCAAUUGCCUCAGACACCUGAGUUUCAGUGAGGAAAAGAUGAGGUUUAGAAGAGAAGAGGUGGUAUUCUACAUACUGAAAAUUAGAUCUUAGACCACGAUUGUUGCAGAAGUUAAUGAAGAAAAAAUUGAGUGGGGUGUCAAGACACUUAGGUUCGUCGUCAGAGUCCGACCUGGGGACAUUUCUGGUCCCCUCCCCAGAUGGGGACUCCGAGGCUGGUGUAGGAGUCACCAUGAAUUUUGAAAUUUUGAAUGAAGGAUGUGUGCGUUAUUAGGUGCUUGUAGUUUUAUGUGGAGGAAGACAGUUGUCUUUAGAGGGCAGGCUGUGACUGCUCCCUUGUCUUGCGAGACAUAAAGGAAAACAUUCAGUGAGGUCACAGCUGGGUUUAAUGAUAAGUUCAUAGCACCCCCUGAUCCAGUGCUUUAGACCUCACUGGGAGUAAUUAUCGUUUCUGCAGGUGGCUACUGCUUCCUCCCUGUGAAAUUACAUUUUUUUUUAUGUUAUACGGUAAUUAUUGACCGUAAUAACUUACGUGAACCGUAUUUUUUCUGUAUCAAGUACAGAGAGAGAGAGAGAGAGAGAGAGAGAGAGAGAGAGAGAGAGAGAGAGAGAGAGAGAGAGAGAGAGAGAGAGAGAGAGAGAGUAGUCAAAAGUAUCUGGACCCUACCCCUUGGAGUGGCCAUCUUAUGGCGAAAAAAGGGUGGUGUUACGUGAGUAAAAUUAUGUA
Molecule: long non-coding RNA, 7140 nt
Organism: Scylla paramamosain (green mud crab)
Lineage: Eukaryota; Metazoa; Arthropoda; Malacostraca; Decapoda; Portunidae
Exons: 2
Source: RefSeq, a predicted model, not a curated record